Molecule: long non-coding RNA, 1454 nt
Organism: Harpia harpyja (harpy eagle)
Lineage: Eukaryota; Metazoa; Chordata; Aves; Accipitriformes; Accipitridae
Exons: 2
Source: RefSeq, a predicted model, not a curated record
UUCCGUGGGAGGAAGGACAGCCCCACGUCAGAAAGAGGAGCACCAAGUGCCACAGGAGAACUUCCCAUCCCCAAGAACUAAAGCCCUCCGCGAAGGAGAACCCAAACACCGGUUCCAUAAAACAAAAUUUUAAGACCAAUUAAAAAUAAAUAAAAAAAAAAAUUACGCUUCCCACGCAUGCUUUCCCCACUGCCCCCAUCCUCCGCCCCAUCUCCCCUUCGCCCCGGCAGCGUCAGGCGCUGAUGCGAUGUUGGCGUAAUUUGGCGUAUUCAGGCUGCUAUUUUGUACCUGUCUGUUUAUUUGAGAGACAGCCUCAACCUCGUAAUGAACGCAUCUGAAUAUUUAUCUGCUUGCUCUGAAUGGUAUAUUUGUAUUUCAAAUGCUUAAUUGUUAUUUUUAUUUAGCUGCAAAUUGCUGUUUUUAUUUUGCUGGCAUACCUACUUGGAAACCGCUCUAGCAUGAGGCUAACACCGAGCUUUUCUCUACUCCUGAUUAGUUUUUUUUAAUUAAUCCAACGCUGAUAAGUGCGUAAGGACUCUGCAGCCCUAUUCUAGAUUGCCACAGCGAUCUAAGAUGUGAAGACAGUGGAAUCAGCCCCAGAAGAAACUGGCUGAUGCGGAGGAAUUGGGAGAGGGCAAACCAGCCAGGACCAUGGAGGAAACCUGGGCAGGACCCGGGGAGAUGGGAAACCCCAGUGACCAGGAGCAGCUCAGUUCUCCUGUGCCGAACCUGGAGGACCAGGUGAAACGCACCUGGGACCAGUUCCCAGCACCGUGGCCGGCUGGUAUGGGACAACCUCAACACAAAGGCCAAAAAGACCUUCUCCCUGCCCAUUCCCAUCUAGCUGGGGGUGCAGCUCUCCCACCAAAGGACUUUAAAAAGCAUCUGGCCAAGAGCAUCUACGGAGCAAGACUGAGCCGUAAGACCUGGCCUUGUGAAUAAAUCCUUCAUGACACAUUUGAUUGCCCAUGGGUAUCCUCUGGGUUCACACGAGGAUUGGACUGUAGAGUCAACUUGAACUUUUAAAGUUGUGUUGUUCUUUUAGGUAAAUGAACAAAGCAAUAAAAGAAGAAAGAAAAGGAAGAAAAAGGAGGGUGGACACAUUUCCUGAGCAAGGUUAGAGGAGGGUGGGUGGGGAGUGCACAAGGAAACCCCGACUGCCCCUUUUGCAAUGGUACUGCUGAAGACUGACAGCGUGAUUUAGGGUCCUUGGACACAAGGCACACUGCUGGAUCCUUGCUAGGGUGUGCAGGAAGGGAGGAGAAUUAGGCAGUGUUUUGCACCAAACUGUAGCUGCAAACGAGAGACCGUGAGCAAACCGGACCCCCAGAACUGGGUCAUACUCAGAUACUGGACCUCAUCUCCAAGCCAAUAUCAGUAGGAAGGGCUAAAUAUUUCUGGGAAUCACCAAGAAGCUAAUAUCGGAGCUAAAAAUAAAGUUUUAUAUCAGUGUG